RNAcentral lists this long non-coding RNA (1106 nucleotides) under Homo sapiens (human). RNAcentral describes it as "H19 imprinted maternally expressed transcript". The record is from RNAcentral. Lineage: Eukaryota; Metazoa; Chordata; Mammalia; Primates; Hominidae.
AAUCAGUGAACAGAAGAGAUGUCCAUCACCCCCAGGAGAGUAGUGUCUGAACCCGUCUAACCGCCCAACAGGUUCUCCCUGCCGCCGGUCUGGACAGAGCUGCUUUAUCACAACAGCCAGGUCUCCAGCUGGGGUGGACGUGCCCACCAGCUGCCGAAGGCCAAGACGCCAGGUCCGGUGGACGUGACAAGCAGGACAUGACAUGGUCCGGUGUGACGGCGAGGACAGAGGAGGCGCGUCCGGCCUUCCUGAACACCUUAGGCUGGUGGGGCUGCGGCAAGAAGCGGGUCUGUUUCUUUACUUCCUCCACGGAGUCGGCACACUAUGGCUGCCCUCUGGGCUCCCAGAACCCACAACAUGAAAGAAAUGGUGCUACCCAGCUCAAGCCUGGGCCUUUGAAUCCGGACACAAAACCCUCUAGCUUGGAAAUGAAUAUGCUGCACUUUACAACCACUGCACUACCUGACUCAGGAAUCGGCUCUGGAAGGUGAAGCUAGAGGAACCAGACCUCAUCAGCCCAACAUCAAAGACACCAUCGGAACAGCAGCGCCCGCAGCACCCACCCCGCACCGGCGACUCCAUCUUCAUGGCCACCCCCUGCGGCGGACGGUUGACCACCAGCCACCACAUCAUCCCAGAGCUGAGCUCCUCCAGCGGGAUGACGCCGUCCCCACCACCUCCCUCUUCUUCUUUUUCAUCCUUCUGUCUCUUUGUUUCUGAGCUUUCCUGUCUUUCCUUUUUUCUGAGAGAUUCAAAGCCUCCACGACUCUGUUUCCCCCGUCCCUUCUGAAUUUAAUUUGCACUAAGUCAUUUGCACUGGUUGGAGUUGUGGAGACGGCCUUGAGUCUCAGUACGAGUGUGCGUGAGUGUGAGCCACCUUGGCAAGUGCCUGUGCAGGGCCCGGCCGCCCUCCAUCUGGGCCGGGUGACUGGGCGCCGGCUGUGUGCCCGAGGCCUCACCCUGCCCUCGCCUAGUCUGGAAGCUCCGACCGACAUCACGGAGCAGCCUUCAAGCAUUCCAUUACGCCCCAUCUCGCUCUGUGCCCCUCCCCACCAGGGCUUCAGCAGGAGCCCUGGACUCAUCAUCAAUAAACACUGUUACAGCAA